UACGAAGGGGGCGAGCGUUGUUCGGAUUUACUGGGCGUAAAGGGCGCGCAGGCGGUCUUGAAAGUCAGGCGUGAAAGCCCCGGGCUUAACCUGGGAAUUGCGCUUGAUACUCUGAGACUGGAGUACGGGAGAGGAGAGUGGAAUUCCCAGUGUAGAGGUGAAAUUCGUAGAUAUUGGGAAGAACACCAGUGGCGAAGGCGGCUCUCUGGACCGUAACUGACGCUGAGGCGCGAAAGCGUGGGGAUCAAACAGG
This 253-nucleotide ribosomal RNA is filed under the name uncultured bacterium. Its description in RNAcentral is "partial 16S ribosomal RNA". It matches the Rfam family "Bacterial small subunit ribosomal RNA", at positions 524 to 776 of the family's 1533-position model. The record is from RNAcentral.